Molecule: ribosomal RNA, 440 nt
Filed under: uncultured bacterium
Lineage: Bacteria
Description: partial 16S ribosomal RNA
Rfam family: Bacterial small subunit ribosomal RNA
Source: RNAcentral
CCUACGGGUGGCAGCAGUAGGGAAUAUUGCUCAAUGGGGGAAACCCUGAAGCAGCCACGUCGCGUGGAGGAUGAAGGCUCUCGGAUUGUUAACCCCUUUUGUUAGAGAAGAUAAUGAAGGUAUCUAACGAAUAAGCAACGGGUAAAUCCGUGCCAGCAGCCGCGGUAAUACGGCGGGUGGAAGCGUUACUCGGAAUCACUGGGCGGAAAGAGCGCGUAGGCGGGGUAGCAAGACAGAUGUGAAAUCCUAUGGCUUAACCAUAGAACUGAAGUUGAAACUGUUAUUCUAGAGUAGGGGAGAGGUAGGUGGAAUGCUUGGUGUAGCGGUGAAAUGCGUAGAGAUCAAGAAGAACACUGAUGGCGAAGGCGGCCUGCUAGAACAUAACUGACGCUGAUGCACGAAAGCGUGGGGAGCAAACAGGAUUAGAUACCCUAGUAGUC